Molecule: ribosomal RNA, 120 nt
Filed under: Clostridium sp. BIOML-A1
Lineage: Bacteria; Bacillati; Bacillota; Clostridia; Eubacteriales; Clostridiaceae
Source: RNAcentral
ACGAGCGGUCUGGNGCGCUUAUGGGAAACACCCGUACCCAUCCCGAACACGACGGUUAAGACGUAAGCGGCCGAUGGUACUGCACUGGAGACGGUGUGGGAGAGUAGGUGGCUGCCAGCU